GGAAACGACUGCUAAUACCCAAUAUGCAGGAAUGUGAAAUAAAUUUUGCCUGAAGAGGAGCUCGCGUCCGAUUAGUUAGUUGGUGAGGUAAGAGCUUACCAAGGCGGCGAUCGGUAGCUGGUCUGAGAGGAUGAGCAGCCACACUGGGACUGAGACACGGCCCAGACUCCUACGGGAGGCAGCAGUGGGGAAUUUUCCGCAAUGGGCGAAAGCCUGACGGAGCAAUACCGCGUGAGGGAGGAAGGCUUUUGGGUUGUAAACCUCUUUUAUUAAGGAAGAAGAAAGUGACGGUACUUAAAGAAUCAGCAUCGGCUAACUCCGUGCCAGCAGCCGCGGUAAUACGGAGGAUGCAAGCGUUAUCCGGAAUCAUUGGGCGUAAAGCGUCCGCAGGUGGCGAUUCAAGUCUGCUGUUAAAGACAGAAGCUUAACUUCUGAAAAGCGGUGGAAACUGGAUAGCUAGAGUACGGUAGGGGUUGAGGGAAUUCCCAGUGUAGCGGUGAAAUGCGUAGAUAUUGGGAAGAACACCAGUGGCGAAGGCGCUCAACUGGGCCGUAACUGACACUCAGGGACGAAAGCU
Molecule: ribosomal RNA, 577 nt
Filed under: uncultured cyanobacterium
Lineage: Bacteria; Bacillati; Cyanobacteriota
Description: bacterial SSU rRNA
Rfam family: Bacterial small subunit ribosomal RNA
Source: RNAcentral